This 73-nucleotide transfer RNA is filed under the name Felis catus (domestic cat). It matches the Rfam family "tRNA". Rfam says of the family: Transfer RNA (tRNA) molecules are approximately 80 nucleotides in length. Their secondary structure includes four short double-helical elements and three loops (D, anti-codon, and T loops). Lineage: Eukaryota; Metazoa; Chordata; Mammalia; Carnivora; Felidae. The record is from Rfam by way of RNAcentral.
ACCUGGCUAGCCAAGUUGGUAGAGCAUGUGACUCUUGAUCUUGGGGUUAUGAGUUCAAGCCCCGUGUUGGGUG